Molecule: ribosomal RNA, 870 nt
Filed under: Triticum aestivum (bread wheat)
Lineage: Eukaryota; Viridiplantae; Streptophyta; Magnoliopsida; Poales; Poaceae
Description: partial small subunit ribosomal RNA
Source: RNAcentral
AUGAAGAAGAUCAAGAGUGGAAAAGAGCUAGUGGAAGAAGUAAGGAAGAUUGAGAAGAACAUCAACGCUGGCAGCACUAUUUCUUCACAACUUGAGUUGAGUGUGGCUGAGAUAUCCAUGGUUACAUGUGAGGUUCCAGCACCUUCACAUUUCGUUGAGGAAGAUAGCAAGUGCCUUGAGCAAGAGAUACCUCAGAUUGAAGAAGAUGAACUAGAAGACAAGGAACAAGAUGGUCAAGAGCUGCAAUUCCCAAGUGAUCAAGUUGAAGACUCAUCAUCUAUUACUUCUGAAGAAGUACAAGAAGCUGCUGUAGAUGAAGAUGAAGAACAUGAGAUUCAUUUGCCUAUUGUCAUACCAGAGCGUGAUGUGUCAGGUUUACUCAAUCCUCUUGAUGACAUGAUGCCUUGUGAUUUCUUUGCUACCACCUUGCAUUACAUGAUACCAUCACUUAAGAUUGAUUUGAAAACUCAUUUGCUUGGAUAUGAUGAUAUAUACCCUGUUAGUGGCAUUACUCUCAUUUGCGAUGAUCAUAGUUACUUUCCUCGUGCUAGUCCUAUGCUUAAUGAAACACAUCAUUUCCAUGCUAGUCUUGAGCUUAAUGAUAAAUGUCAUCCUCGUGUGAGUAUUGACCAUGCUGAUUUCUGCCAUCCUAAACAUGUGCUUUAUAGUUAUGCUUAUAUAAUUGGAUAUACCAUUGAUGACUUGGAGGGCAUCGACCGUAUCACUUAUAGUUGUUUGUGUGAGUCCUAUUUCAGGCUUUUGCUACUGCACUGUUUACUACAUGCUGACCAGUUGGGUUGCUUGAGCCAGUUAUUACUUGUUGUCAAGCUGAAUCUCACCUUUGGCAUUGUGCUUGAUGUGAAUUUGUGA